GCUCUAAGACUUACACAGGGCACACAGCUGGUAAGUGCUGCCUCUUCCAGGCCUGUUUUUUCAACUGGACUCUUCUACUUUACCCGGUCAAAAACACAUCUAUCUGGCAAGGUGUGUACACUGAGAGAGCAACAACAUAACUGAAAAUACCUCAUGAGAGGAGAAGGUGGCACCAGUGGCUCGUCUGGAGCCAGGAUGGCUGUGCAUGCUUGGAUGGGGCAGUAGGAAUUGACCACCUCUUACUAUUUCCAAUGAAAUUCCCUGAACAAAUUUGGGAGAGGAAUACUCCAGUCUUAUAUUCUGGAGACAAAAUAUGAUACCCUGGCAGUACAAUCCUGGCUGCCAGCAAACUGGACAAUACCAGGGGAAAAUCCCACUCUUCUUCCCACUUUCUUCUUAAAAGAAAGGAAGACAUGUGUGAAGAUAUUCGUGCUGAUUCCUUGAAAAUGCUGAAUGCCAAGGAAAAUGUACUGACUCCAGAGUGAAGAGAUGAUCAUCUGCAAUGAUCAGUCCAUGAGUCCAAAAACUCAGCCAAGUGGGUGGCAUGAUUCAACGUUCAAGUAUAGUGUAGCCCACUCCAUGUGGCAUAAACACAGAGUCUAGUGCAUGGACAGUUGUUUCUGGAACAAUGUUAUUAAGUUUCUUCAAACAUUUAGAAAGUGUAUUUAUUUUAAUCACUGUAAUCAUAACAGGAAUGUGUGUAGAUGCUUAAAAUAAUACAAAUGCUACCUAUAUGAUACAAGUCACUGAGCAGUGAAAAUGGUUUCCCAGCUGCAAAUAGCCAGGGUAACAAAUAUAUUUCAUGUUGAAAAUCUGGGUCAUUUUAUACCAAGGAACAAUUUAAUGGUGACAGUAAAAAAAUUAAAUUUUAAAUAUAAGGUCUAAGGUUUAAUCCGAUUUCUGAAAAUAGUUUAUAGCACUAUCUUUAAAGUGUGAGUAUGUGUGUGCAUGUGGGUGUGUAUAAAUAUAAAUAUAAAUUUUGGAUCAGGGUAUAAGCUGCUCUGAAAAAGCAUUAAAUAGGAACAAAUAUUAGUAGUCUGAGGAUAAUUCAUAAAUUGAAUACUUAAAUUUAAAGGCUCCUGAAAGUUGUAAUUACUAAAGAUAUAGGACAAUCCAGGUCAAGACUCUGUGGGGAAGUAAGUAAGCCCCUGGGCUAGGAGUAGAGCAAGUGAAAGCACCAGAGUGCCAUGGUCUCAAGGCCACGAAGGUCAUUCAGGUGCUAGACUAAGCAUGUGUGCUCUCACCUGUGAAACUUUUCCUACUUUCUCGAGGGUGUGUUCCGUCCUGUACCUAACCAUGGCUUGUUAAAUGGUGCACAGUGCCUGGAUCCUCCCCUAACUUCUUGUAUAUGCUCUCCUCAGUUGUGUUUUCGAUGUCUGCUUAGUUACCUGACCCAAAUCAUGAUUGCUUGCUUUAUUUGGUGGGUUUACUUUGGAUUAUACUUUAAGCCCAUGAAAUCUUUAGUGAUGACUCAAGAGGACAGGUUAAUUCCUUCCCUGGGUGGUCCAAAGAUUGCAGAAUUUUUUAUUUUGUCAUUGAGGAUAAAAGGGGUAAUUUGAAUAAACAUGGAAUAAGGACAGAGUUAUAUUCUCUGGGGAAAUUUUAGCCAGAUAAAAUGCAAUACUUCUUUUCGAGUUACUUAAAUUUUCAGUUAUAUGGAAUUUGAUUUCUUCUAGGGCUCUGAUUAUUGAGCUGUGAAAAUUGAUGAAAAUAAGGUUGUUUUAUAACUUUCAGUUUCCUAACAGUGAAAAACAAUGGAAUAUUCUGCCUUCAUAUUCCUGACACUUCCCAGGAUUGGCCUCCUUUCUUGCUUUCCAUGAUAAUUCAUGUUCUUAAUCUCCCUAUCCCACUCUUCCCUGUCUCUUUUAGGAUCCUACUGCCCUCCAAAUCUGGUCAUUACCCAUGGUUCCAUUCCCUGUUCUUUCUCUUUGGUUUGUUACCCUUGCUCUCCUUAUCCUCCUUUAGCUUCUACCAUCACCCCACUAGUGAUGGCUCAAAUUUAUAUUUCCAACUCCUCCAUAAUUCCAGGCACUUAUUUCCACUGCCUGUUGAAUAUCCUUAUGUCUAUAUCCAUCUGUAUUUAAAAUUCAGCAUUUCUUUACAAACUCAACAUUGUCUCGCUAAAAUAGUCACUACCUUUUCCAGUCAUCUUUGACCACACUCUCUCCUUUAGCCCUUCUAUCUAAGUAGUUUCCACUAAUUUUCAUCUCCAUAGUGAUUCAUAUAUGUCUUCUAAUUUUUUUUGUUGUUGUUGUUCGCGGGCCUCUCACUGUUGUGGCCUCUCCCGUUGCGGAGCACAGGCUCCGGACGCGCAGGCUAAGCGGCCAUGGCUCACGGGCCCAGCCGCUCUGCGGCAUGUGGGAUCCUCCUGGACCGGGGCACGAACCUGUGUCCCCUGCAUCGGCAGGCGGACUCUCAACCACCGUGCCACCAGGGAAGCCCAAUGUCUUCUAAUUUUUAAAAUCAUCGUUGUCCUCAUUUACUAUUUGGUCACUAGUAGUCCAGUGCAUAUAGGGCACACAUGAUAAAUGCUUGCUCCUUUACCAUUAUUUAUCACCUUCAUUGCCUAUUACCUGGAUUAUUCUAGUAGAAUUUUAACUGACCUUCCUGCUACCAUUCUUUUGCUCCUCUAAUUUACACUAUAUAUAGCUGCCAGAUUACUCUUCUUCUUUUUGUUUUGUUUUUGCUUUUGGCCUUGCUGCACAGCUUGUGGCAUCUUAGUUCCCUGGCCAGGUACUGAACCCAGGCCCUUGGCAGUGAGAGCGCAGAGUUCGAACCACUGGAGCACCAGGGAAUUCCCCAGAUUACUCUUCUUAAUGCACAGGUCUGACCAAUUGCUAUUACCCAAUUAUACCAAAGCAGGCAAGGCUUUAACCAAAUGUGAUCCUACCUUUCGGCUAAAAUUCCAAAGUACUUUUAAAAUACAUUUUUAAAGGCAAUUUAAAAAUUUUUCCUUCAAUUUUUUUGAUAUAAAUGAUGAUAAAUAGAUGAGUGGACCAUAUCUUACAAUUAGAGCCAAACUCCUAGUGCCCACAGAUUGCAAAACCAGUUAACUCUCCUUCUAGAAUUAAAUCUUAACAAGGCUUCUUUCUUUCUGGGCAUACCAUGGAUAUCAUUUAUACUGGGUAAGAAUGCAAGUUGUUAAUUACUGAAUGGACUUAAGCAUUUUAACAGUCUAGAUAAUCAAUUUUUAUUCAGAUGGUAUUACUUUGCUAGAGUUACUAGCAACAAAAACAACAGUAACGUGAUUAAAUCAAACAAAAUACAUCACUGAGUUUUUGGUAAAAAAACUUGUUUUGCUAAUAGCUUUUUUUUUUCUCUUACAGAAGUAAUGCUUAUUGUAAAAGUUCUAAUAAUACAGAAGUGUAGAAAGUAAAAUGUGAAAGUUUCCUUUCUUCAACCUCACAGCCCACAGUUAAUAAUUGGACUUAUAUCUGUUAACAUUUUUUUUCUAUGUACAUACAAGCAUUUGAAAUAAGCAUUUAUAUUAUUUCUGUUACAGAACUAGGAACACCCUAGUAAACAUACUGCCUGUGCUCCACCCACAUCUCUUUGGAGCCUGUUUACCAGUUCUGGCCAUCCUCUUGCCCUGUGUGUUUGCUGGAGGCUGACCUUGGGCUACUGGAGGGGCUUUGUGGCACACAGGGAUGGAAGUGCUUGGGAUUUGAUGACCCACUAGAUCAGGGUGUAGCCAAGGACUGACCGGUGAGUGAAUAAUUUACCUCCAGAGCUCCUUCUGGUAUCAGACUGAGGUUGAGCCUUUGCCUAAAAUAACACCCUAUUUACCCAUUCCAGGACUUGCUUGCUCUACUCUCUGUAAGUUUCUGCUGGAGCCCUUCCUUAAUAUGUCAUUUGUGUGUAAAUCCUUGUGUCAGGCACUGCUGUUGAGAACCCAGCCUAAGACAAUCAGAUACAUCAAACCAAUCUUUCUCCUUUGUCAAUCAUGAGUUUUAAGCACUUUUUCUUUCAGUAAUCUUUCCUAGGCUCUCUGUUAAAUGUCUUCAUGUAGUUUAUGUACUCACUUUCAAAUGGGAAAAAAAUGCUACUGACCUAGCAUUGUUUUCCUUUGUUUUUAGAAAAGCGGUGAGAAAACUGCAAAUGUGCAUCAGCAUUCCCUCUCACACAUUAACUAAAUACUGAGCCAGGAACAGGGGUAAAGUAAACAGAGAACUGAACAAAACUGACCUAUGUGAGGGAGAAUUUGUGACUCUGUCUCCAUGUGCUUCUCUAACCAAAUGAUCUUAAGCCUUAUGUGGGGCAAUGAAAUUUCAUGCUCAGAAAUGAGGUUAAAGACUUCUUAAGACCCUUAACAUUUAAAAAAGAGAUUUUAACUUAUGAUAAUUAAGACAACAUCAAACCUAAUGUAUAGUCUUGUAACUGUUUCGUUCUCUGACUUUUACUAGAGAAACCACUAAACAAACAAAACCACUUCUUGUCAAGGUCCUUCAACUGCUUGCAAUCCAGGAGGAGGCAAGUUUAUAAAAUAAGGCAGCUAAAAAAACAACACAUGGUAGCCUAUAAUCAGAUUCACAUGGUCCACGUUGAAGACAUUUAGAGAAGCCCAUAACUAUUCUGUAGAGAAGUUAUCAGGAAAAGCUUUACUAAAAAGUUGACAUUGGAAUUGAGCCUUGAAAGUUGUAGCACUUAGGUAAUGAAAGGUCACGCAUUCCAAGUAGAAGUUCAUGGAUAAGUGCUAAGCUUAGAAUGAGCAUACUUGGUGUGCUUUGAGGAGAGAAGAGAGCAUUAAGGGAAACUCUGACCACAGCAGAAGGUAUAGACUCAGGAAUCAUGUUCAAAUGGGGUUUUAUAUAGUUGGAUAGGCAAGGUGAGGUCAGAUAAUGGAAAAUCUCAAAUGCUGGGCUGAGGAGUUUCGACUUGAUUAGAAAGGCCACAAUGACGGAGUAUAGAUUUUUAAGCAAGUAAAUGGCAUGAUAUUAGAGGUUUUAUAAAGAUUAACUUAGCUUUGGUAUAUCAGAGAGUUUAUUGUAGGGUUUAGUAUAUCAGAAUGUUUAUUACUAAAAAUUUGUUGGAGACUGCAAUUUUGUAUGAAGAUAAAGGCCUAGAUUUGAAGAAAUGACAAGGUAGGGAUAAACGCUAGAGACCAUAAAAAAAGAUGCCAGAACUUGGUAACUGACUAUUAGGGGUGGGGUAUAGAAAAGAUUAGAAGAUGAGUCUAAGGUUCAAGCUUUUGAGUACUUUGGGAAAAUGUGUGUGUGUGGGGGGGCGGGGCGGAGAAUGGAGCUGCACAUAAAGAAAGCUUAUUCAGGUGGGAGUGUGCCCUAAUUUGAUUUUUAGACACUUGGGGUUAAAGCAGAGUGUUCUGGCAGAAGUGUCCUGUUGGCAUUUUAUUUCCUGGAAAUAAAUAUGAAACUAAAGCUUGACUGAAAAAUUAGUGUUGGAGAUAUAAAAUCUGUGUUCAGUAGGGUAAAGAUGAGAAUUUAAGCUUUGGAUAGAAUUGGAUACAUUCCUAACAAUGGGAAUACAUAGAGAAAAUAGCUGAAGAUGGAAAACUGAGGCCUAUUAACCGCCCACUUAAGUUCUGCUUAGAGAUAUCAUUACAUCUGAAUGGUCAUUGGAGGUUAUAUGCUAACUUAGCAAAAGACAUAGCCUAUUUUGUUAGUUUAACACUCCAUGAAGCCAGGAAAUAUAACCUCCUUCUCCACAGUUCCCUCGUUCUGUUUUGGCUCUUUAGAAUUCCCUCAUUCCUCCUUUGGGGAAUAUGGACUAGGGAAGGCAGAGGGGAGAAGGGUAGGGGACAUCUGUAUUUACUCCUUCUCCCACGUCAUCGUCAUACUCUGUUCUCUACACUCUUGGAUCUGGAAUGAAUUCCCAUUGUAGUCGUAUAUUAAGAACUGAGGUCCCUCUAUAUUGGGUUAAUACGUGACUUCAGUGCACAUGCUCACCAACUUUUGUUUUUUGCUUUUUGUUUUUUUAAUCUGAUGACUGAAGAUAGUGCCCCUGCUUCUGCUUCACAGGGACCUAGUAAAGAUUAAGUAGAAAAACUCGGGAGCACCCAGGGGAUGCAUAUCUAUGGAUAUUUCACAGUAUACUCAGUUUAUUGUCUUUAGUUCCAGUAAAAAUAGCCUAUUGGGGAUAAGUUCAAAGUCUAUGGAAUCUGGUGUUAAUACAACGUGAAUCAAUGUUUCAAAGGAAUAUGCUUUUGAAAACCUCUCUAGAACUCAGAUGUUUUAUGAAUAUGGUAAUGAUAAUAAAGCUAAUAAUUAUAAAUAAUAAUUCUGUGUUAAAAAUGUAUCUCCGGGAUAUGGGAACAUA
Globicephala melas (long-finned pilot whale) is the source of this 6273-nucleotide long non-coding RNA. RefSeq lists it as uncharacterized. NCBI's taxonomy places the organism in Eukaryota, Metazoa, Chordata, Mammalia, Artiodactyla, Delphinidae. The record is from RefSeq and is a predicted model, not a curated record.